This 484-nucleotide ribosomal RNA is filed under the name uncultured bacterium. RNAcentral describes it as "partial 16S ribosomal RNA". It matches the Rfam family "Bacterial small subunit ribosomal RNA", at positions 30 to 507 of the family's 1533-position model. The record is from RNAcentral.
AUUGAACGCUGGCGGCCGGCCUCCCCCCUGCACGUCGAGCGGAUGAAGGGAGCUUGCUCCUGGAUUCAGCGGCGGACGGGUGAGUAAUGCCUAGGAAUCUGCCUGGUAGUGGGGGAUAACGUCCGGAAACGGGCGCUAAUACCGCAUACGUCCUGAGGUAGAAAGUGGGGGAUCUUCGGACCUCACGCUAUCAGAUGAGCCUAGGUCGGAUUAGCUAGUUGGUGGGGUAAAGGCCUACCAAGGCGACGAUCCGUAACUGGUCUGAGAGGAUGAUCAGUCACACUGGAACUGAGACACGGUCCAGACUCCUACGGGAGGCAGCAGUGGGGAAUAUUGGACAAUGGGCGAAAGCCUGAUCCAGCCAUGCCGCGUGUGUGAAGAAGGUCUUCGGAUUGUAAAGCACUUUAAGUUGGGAGGAAGGGCAGUAAGUUAAUACCUUGCUGUUUUGACGUUACCAACAGAAUAAGCACCGGCUAACUUCGUG